Molecule: ribosomal RNA, 817 nt
Filed under: Truncatella angustata
Lineage: Eukaryota; Fungi; Ascomycota; Sordariomycetes; Amphisphaeriales; Sporocadaceae
Also listed under: 1 other name
Description: partial large subunit ribosomal RNA
Rfam family: Eukaryotic large subunit ribosomal RNA
Source: RNAcentral
CAACAGCUCAAAUUUGAAAUCUGGCUUCGGCCCGAGUUGUAAUUUGCAGAGGAUGCUUUUGGUGCGGUGCCUUCCGAGUUCCCUGGAACGGGACGCCACAGAGGGUGAGAGCCCCGUAUGGUUGGACACCAAUCCUGUGUAAAGCUCCUUCGACGAGUCGAGUAGUUUGGGAAUGCUGCUCUAAAUGGGAGGUAAAUCUCUUCUAAAGCUAAAUACCGGCCAGAGACCGAUAGCGCACAAGUAGAGUGAUCGAAAGAUGAAAAGCACCUUGAAAAGGGGGUUAAACAGUACGUGAAAUUGUUGAAAGGGAAGCACUUGUGACCAGACUUGGGCCGGGCGGCUCAUCAGGGGUUCUCCCCUGUGCACUCCGCCCGGUACAGGCCAGCAUCGGUUUUCGCCGGGGGAUAAGAACGGUAGGAACGUGGCUCCCUCUCGGGGGAGUGUUAUAGCCUGCCGUACGAUACCCUGGCGGGGACCGAGGUUCGCGCUUCCGCAAGGAUGCUGGCGUAAUGGUUACUAGUGACCCGUCUUGAAACACGGACCAAGGAGUCGUCCAUUAGAGCGAGCGUUUGGGUGUCAAACCCGCACGCGUAAUGAAAGUGAAAUUAGGUGAGAGCUUCGGCGCAUCAUCGACCGAUCCUGAUGUUCUCGGAUGGAUUUGAGUAAGAGUUUUAACGGACGGACCCGAAAGACAGUGAACUAUGCUUGUAUAGGGUGAAGCCAGAGGAACUCUGGUGGAGGCUCGCAGCGGUUCUGACGUGCAAAUCGAUCGUCAAAUAUGAGCAUGGGGGCGAAAGACUAAUCGAACUGUCUAGUA